Molecule: ribosomal RNA, 293 nt
Filed under: uncultured bacterium
Lineage: Bacteria
Description: partial 16S ribosomal RNA
Rfam family: Archaeal small subunit ribosomal RNA
Source: RNAcentral
GUGCCAGCCGCCGCGGUAAUACCGGCAGCACAAGUGAUGGCCGAUCUUAUUGGGCCUAAAGCGUCCGUAGCCGGUCGCGUCGGUCCGUCGGGAAAUCCCUCAGCCUAACUGGGGGGCGUCCGGCGGAAACCACGCGACUUGGGGUCGGAAGAUCCAACGGGUACGUCCGGGGUAGGAGUGAAAUCCCGUAAUCCUGGACGGACCGCCGAUGGCGAAAGCACGUUGGAAAGACGAACCCGACGGUGAGGGACGAAAGCUCGGGUCUCGAACCGGAUUAGAUACCCCAGUAGUCC